Morone saxatilis (striped sea-bass) is the source of this 444-nucleotide long non-coding RNA. RefSeq lists it as uncharacterized. The transcript is spliced from 4 exons. Lineage: Eukaryota; Metazoa; Chordata; Actinopteri; Moronidae. The record is from RefSeq and is a predicted model, not a curated record.
CGCCCAGCCUAAGGCCUGUCGGUCUGGUAUAUAGAGUCAGAGUCACAACAGAGACACCAUAAACAGUCAUUUCACUGUUAAAUAUACACUUACAGACGACUGCUGCUGAAGUUUAACAGCAAAGAAAAUGAAAGCCCAGAUGGUUUUCCUGCUCUUUGCUCUUGUGGUCGGGCUUAAAGCGACGUCAACUGAUUCCCCUGAGGACGAUGAAGUUAUUCCAGAGGAAGACGCCAUACAACAAAUUCUGAAUAUUCAUUUGACUGACAUGAAAAGAGACAAUGAAAACUCUGGGGGUCCGAAAGGUGAAACUUAGGUAAUUUAAUGAAAAGAUGUCAGUCGGUGAGCAAGAAAGAAAACAGCUUUGAAAACGUCCCUCGAUAUCAGCCCCAAACUAUUCCAGCCAAAAGAUGUAACAAAAUACAAUAAAUAAACACAGCAAUAAAA